This 1618-nucleotide ribosomal RNA is filed under the name Traversia lyalli (Stephens Island wren). RNAcentral describes it as "16S ribosomal RNA". It matches the Rfam family "Bacterial large subunit ribosomal RNA". Lineage: Eukaryota; Metazoa; Chordata; Aves; Passeriformes; Acanthisittidae. The record is from RNAcentral.
AGCCAACCCUAGCCCAAAAACACACAGCCCGCUUGCUAGCCAGAAUCCACUCUUAAACGAAACUAAAACAUUCUCCCUAAGCCUAGUAUAGGCGAUAGAAAAGCUUCCUCUACAUGGCGCGAUAGAAACUUUGUACCGUAAGGGAAAGAUGAAAUAAUAAUGAACAAACCCAGCAAACAACAGCAAAGACUAACCCUUGUACCUUUUGCAUCAUGAUUUAGCAAGAACAACCAAGCGAAACGCAUUUAAGCUUGCCCUCCCGAAACUCGAGCGAGCUACUUACAAGCAGCUAUUCACUGAGCAAACCCGUCUCUGUCGCAAAAGAGUGGGAUGACUUGUCAGUAGAGGUGAAAAGCCAACCGAGCCGAGUGAUAGCUGGUUGCCUGUGAAAUGAAUCUCAGUUCUCUCUUGACCUUCCUCUACGGACGCUCAUCCAAACCUUACACGAAGCAAGUCAAGAGCCACCCAAAGGAGGUACAGCUCCUUUGAAAAAGACUACACCCUCCCCUAGCGGAUAAACCUACCACCCACCCCCCAUAUACCCCCUGUGGGCCUUCAAGCAGCCAACAACAAAGAAUGCGUCAAAGCUCCAUGCAAAAAAUAUAAAAUCCAAUAAGACUCCCUCCACCCAACUAACAGGCUAAUCUAUUACGAUAGAUGAAUUAAUGCUAAAAUGAGUAACUUAGGGCCCUACCCCCUCCACGGCGCAAACUUACAUUCAACUAUUAUUAACAAGCCCAAACAACUUAUACCCCAAACCCCAAACAGGAGCCAGUAUUAAACAUCUCUGUUAGCCCCACCCAGGAGCGCCCGCCAGAAAGACUAAAAUCUGUAAAAGGAACUAGGCAAACCAAGGCCCGACUGUUUACCAAAAACAUAGCCUUUAGCCCCCCAAGUAUUAAAGGUGAUGCCUGCCCAGUGACAUUGUUUAACGGCCGCGGUAUCCUAACCGUGCGAAGGUAGCGCAAUCAAUUGUCUCAUAAAUCGAGACUUGUAUGAAUGGCUAAACGAGGUCUUAACUGUCUCUUACAGAUAGUCAGUGAAAUUGAUCUCCCUGUGCAAAAGCAGGAAUAAACCCAUAAGACGAGAAGACCCUGUGGAACUUAAAAAUCAAAGGCCACACAUGCAAACUCCACCCCUACUUGGCCUACCCACACAAUAAUGUUGGCCCAUAUUUUUUGGUUGGGGCGACCCCGGAGAAAAACAAAACCUCCAGAAACAAGACCACCCCUCUUGACCAAGAGUAACCCCUCAACGUACUAAUAGUGACCAGACCCAAUAAAAAUUGACCAAUGGACCAAGCUACCCCAGGGAUAACAGCGCAAUCCCCUCCAAGAGCCCCCAUCGACGAGGAGGUUUACGACCUCGAUGUUGGAUCAGGACAUCCUAGUGGUGCAGCCGCUACUAAGGGUUCGUUUGUUCAACGAUUAACAGCCCUACGUGAUCUGAGUUCAGACCGGAGCAAUCCAGGUCGGUUUCUAUCUAUGACAGACUUUCCCCAGUACGAAAGGACAGGGACAAGUGGGGCCAAUACUGCAAGUACGCCUCCUACUCUAAGCAAUGAACCAAACUAAAUUGCCAAAGAUUCACACACAACCACGUCCUAGAAAAGGACCAA